GACGAACGCUGGCGGCGUGCCUAAUACAUGCCAGUUGAGCGAUGAAGCUUGGUGCUUGCACCAAUUUGAAGAGCAGCGAACGGGUGAGUAACGCGUGGGGAAUCUGCCUUUGAGCGGGGGACAACAUUUGGAAACGAAUGCUAAUACCGCAUAACAACUUUAAACAUAAGUUUUAAGUUUGAAAGAUGCAAUUGCAUCACUCAAAGAUGAUCCCGCGUUGUAUUAGCUAGUUGGUGAGGUAAAGGCUCACCAAGGCGAUGAUACAUAGCCGACCUGAGAGGGUGAUCGGCCACAUUGGGACUGAGACACGGCCCAAACUCCUACGGGAGGCAGCAGUGGGGAAUCUUCGGCAAUGGACGAAAGUCUGACCGAGCAACGCCGCGUGAGUGAAGAAGGUUUUCGGAUCGUAAAACUCUGUUGGUAGAGAAGAACGUUGGUGAGAGUGGAAAGCUCAUCAAGUGACGGUAACUACCCAGAAAGGGACGGCUAACUACGUG
This 497-nucleotide ribosomal RNA is filed under the name uncultured bacterium. Its description in RNAcentral is "partial 16S ribosomal RNA". It matches the Rfam family "Bacterial small subunit ribosomal RNA", at positions 28 to 507 of the family's 1533-position model. The record is from RNAcentral.